This 522-nucleotide long non-coding RNA is filed under the name Anolis carolinensis (green anole). RNAcentral describes it as "lncRNA (ENSACAG00000040932.1)". The record is from RNAcentral. Lineage: Eukaryota; Metazoa; Chordata; Lepidosauria; Squamata; Anolidae.
GUGAAAGACUUCAUGUUUGGCUUGACAAACACCCAACGCUUUUCCAAACCUGAAAGUGGCCAAAGUGAUACAGUUGCUGUGGAUGAUGUCAGUUCCCUUUUGUCCAAUAUGGGGAUCUACCUAACCAAAGAGCAGCUCCAAGACACUUUGAAACGUGUGAAGGUGGAUGAAAAUGGGAAGGUGAACAUGACUGAACUGAUAGAAAGUGUGAAGAAAACCCAGUCUGAAGCUGGAAUGGAAAGGGUGCAUGUACACGACCUGGAUGCUGUUCUGGCCAAGAUGAGCAUUCACCUAACCAACAGUGAAAUCCAAGAAGCUUUGAAAUAUGCAUAUGUAGAUGAGGAUGGCAGAGUUAACCUGAAUGACUUCAUGAAUGCAGUGAGGAGGACUGUUCGGCUAAUACUAGGUGCAGAAGGUGAGUGGGACUGGGACCAUAUUUUAAUUAUGGCAGACUCAGUCAUGGCAGCAUCUGGUAGGCUUACAGCAGUUGCAUCUGAACUUUCCAUACUUUUGUACUUGUAA